UUACACAUGCAAGUCGAACGGCAGCACGGGUGCUUGCACUGGUGGCGAGUGGCGAACGGGUGAGUAAUACAUCGGAACAUGUCCUGUAGUGGGGGAUAGCCCGGCGAAAGCCGGAUUAAUACCGCAUACGAUCUACGGAUGAAAGCGGGGGACCUUCGGGCCUCGCGCUAUAGGGUUGGCCGAUGGCUGAUUAGCUAGUUGGUGGGGUAAAGGCCUACCAAGGCGACGAUCAGUAGCUGGUCUGAGAGGACGACCAGCCACACUGGGACUGAGACACGGCCCAGACUCCUACGGGAGGCAGCAGUGGGGAAUUUUGGACAAUGGGCGAAAGCCUGAUCCAGCAAUGCCGCGUGUGUGAAGAAGGCCUUCGGGUUGUAAAGCACUUUUGUCCGGAAAGAAAUCCUUGGCUCUAAUACAGUCGGGGGAUGACGGUACCGGAAGAAUAAGCACCGGCUAACUACGUGCCAGCAGCCGCGGUAAUACGUAGGGUGCGAGCGUUAAUCGGAAUUACUGGGCGUAAAGCGUGCGCAGGCGGUUUGCUAAGACCGAUGUGAAAUCCCCGGGCUCAACCUGGGAACUGCAUUGGUGACUGGCAGGCUAGAGUAUGGCAGAGGGGGGUAGAAUUCCACGUGUAGCAGUGAAAUGCGUAGAGAUGUGGAGGAAUACCGAUGGCGAAGGCAGCCCCCUGGGCCAAUACUGACGCUCAUGCACGAA
This 714-nucleotide ribosomal RNA is filed under the name Burkholderia sp. nnj1. Its description in RNAcentral is "bacterial SSU rRNA". It matches the Rfam family "Bacterial small subunit ribosomal RNA", at positions 49 to 757 of the family's 1533-position model. The record is from RNAcentral. Lineage: Bacteria; Pseudomonadati; Pseudomonadota; Betaproteobacteria; Burkholderiales; Burkholderiaceae.